This is a long non-coding RNA of Octopus sinensis (East Asian common octopus), 283 nucleotides long. RefSeq lists it as uncharacterized. The record is from RefSeq and is a predicted model, not a curated record. The transcript has 3 exons. NCBI's taxonomy places the organism in Eukaryota, Metazoa, Mollusca, Cephalopoda, Octopoda, Octopodidae.
UUUCUGUUAUGCUUAAUCUUGAUGAUUGUUAAAACAUUGAGGUUUCUUCAUAAUGGAUCAUUUCCAACCGAUUUCUUCCAAAAAAGUUUACCGCGAUUACCAAUUCCGUCGCUUGAAAGCACUAUAUCCAAAUACCUAAAUGCAACUCGACCACUUGUCUCUGCAAAAUCAUAUGAAAAAACGAGUCAAAUUUGUUUGGAUUUUCAAAAAACAGUUGGAAAUGAACUUCAAAAACAGUUGAUAGACAGAGAUUCCAGAAACCCGCAAUCAAGUUAUAUUAAUC